Molecule: ribosomal RNA, 305 nt
Filed under: uncultured bacterium
Lineage: Bacteria
Description: bacterial SSU rRNA
Rfam family: Bacterial small subunit ribosomal RNA
Source: RNAcentral
CCUACGGGGGGCAGCAGUGAGGGAUAUUGGUCAAUGGGGGAAACCCUGAACCAGCAACGCCGCGUGAGGGAAGACGGUUUUCGGAUUGUAAACCUCUGUCCUCUGUGAAGAUGAUGACGGUAGCGGAGGAGGAAGCUCCGGCUAAAUACGUGCCAGCAGCCGCGGUAAUACGUAUGGGGCAAGCGUUAUCCGGAUUUACUGGGUGUAAAGGGAGCGUAGGCGGCCUGGCAAGCCUGAUGUGAAAUACCGGGGCCCAACCCCGGGGCUGCAUUGGGAACUGCCAGGCUGGAGUGCCGGAGAGGCAG